UGGGGAAUAUUGGACAAUGGGGGCAACCCUGAUCCAGCCAUGCCGCGUGUGUGAAGAAGGCCUUUUGGUUGUAAAGCACUUUAAGCAGGGAGGAGAGGCUAAUGGUUAAUACCCAUUAGAUUAGACGUUACCUGCAGAAUAAGCACCGGCUAACUCUGUGCCAGCAGCCGCGGUAAUACAGAGGGUGCGAGCGUUAAUCGGAAUUACUGGGCGUAAAGCGAGUGUAGGUGGCUCAUUAAGUCACAUGUGAAAUCCCCGGGCUUAAACCUGGGAACUGCAUGUGAUACUGGUGGUGCUAGAAUAUGUGAGAGGGAAGUAGAAUUCCCAGGUGUAGCGGUGGAAUGCGUAGAGAUCUGGAGGAAUACCGAUGGCGAAGGCAGCUUCCUGGCAUAAUAUUGACACUGAGAUUCGAAAGCGUGGGUAGCAAAACAGGAUUAGAUACCCUGGUAGUCCACGCCGUAAACGAUGUCUACUAGCCGUUGGGGUCCUUGAGACUUUAGUGGCGCAGUU
Molecule: ribosomal RNA, 510 nt
Filed under: uncultured bacterium
Lineage: Bacteria
Description: partial 16S ribosomal RNA
Rfam family: Bacterial small subunit ribosomal RNA
Source: RNAcentral